UUGCUGGCGACCGGCGCACGGUGAGUAACACGUAUCCAACCUGCCGAUAACUCGGGGAUAGCCUUUCGAAAGAAAGAUUAAUACCCGAUGGCAUAAUUAGACCGCAUGGUUUGAUUAUUAAAGAAUUUCGGUUAUCGAUGGGGAUGCGUUCCAUUAGGCAGUUGGUGAGGUAACGGCUCACCAAACCUUCGAUGGAUAGGGGUUCUGAGAGGAAGGUCCCCCACAUUGGAACUGAGACACGGUCCAA
RNAcentral lists this ribosomal RNA (247 nucleotides) under uncultured bacterium. Its description in RNAcentral is "partial 16S ribosomal RNA". It matches the Rfam family "Bacterial small subunit ribosomal RNA", at positions 85 to 334 of the family's 1533-position model. The record is from RNAcentral.